GUGGUUUUUGUUUUUACUGUCUUGCCAGUGUUCUUCAUUGCGAUUUAUUUUUAUAUGCAAGUUGCCGGAAAUGACGUCACUAAGUAUUUUGAAAAUUGUUGUGCAAUAUGUGUCAAUAAAUAUCGAUAUUGUGGCGUGGUAAUCAAGAUACUAUCAGUAUUCCUGUUUAGUAUAUAUGCAGUAUUUUUGCCAACAUAUACGUAUGUAAUUUAAUGCUAAUAUUUGUUUAUGUUUAACAAAACACAAGCACACAUUAUAUGUAUUUGAAACACGUUCUACAUAAUAUAAAUAACACAUAGCUAAGAGGAUGAUAUAGCAGACUGUUACUCUGAGAAAACAUUGUCAACCGUAGCGAAUCUUAUUUUAUGCAUAGACUGCUGGUAAAUGGUACUGAAUUAUGUAAUUGAGUCCAGCAACGGUGUUUUACUCCAAACCAUGAAUUUUAACAGAUAAAUACACACUCGUAGUAGAAUAGUUCCAUAUUAAUACGAAACACAAAUGUUGCAUGUCCAAUGCGUAAAUGUUGAAAGGUCCAUCUUUUCAUACUAGUUAUUUAUUGUAAUAUUUACAUUUACAGGCAUGCACAGGCACUCGCACAAGGGAAACAACCAGAUAGAAAAUUGGAAUAUACUUUAGCUUACCUUACUCUCGUCGAAGCUACAGUAGAGUCAGCUCCACAGCUAACAAUACAAAUAUACCUGUCAAUUACGAAUACGCUCACUGACACUACCCAAAC
RNAcentral lists this long non-coding RNA (736 nucleotides) under Mytilus galloprovincialis (Mediterranean mussel). Lineage: Eukaryota; Metazoa; Mollusca; Bivalvia; Mytilida; Mytilidae. The record is from RNAcentral.